AGUGAACGCUGGCGGUAGGCCUAACACAUGCAAGUCGAACGGCAGCACAGUAAGAGCUUGCUCUUACGGGUGGCGAGUGGCGGACGGGUGAGGAAUACAUCGGAAUCUACUUUUUCGUGGGGGAUAACGUAGGGAAACUUACGCUAAUACCGCAUACGACCUACGGGUGAAAGCAGGGGAUCUUCGGACCUUGCGCGAUUGAAUGAGCCGAUGUCGGAUUAGCUAGUUGGCGGGGUAAAGGCCCACCAAGGCGACGAUCCGUAGCUGGUCUGAGAGGAUGAUCAGCCACACUGAGACUGAGACACGGUCCAGACUCCUACGAGAGGCAGCAGUGGGGAAUAUUGGACAAUGGGCGCAAGCCUGAUCCAGCCAUACCGCGUGGGUGAAGAAGGCCUUCGGGUUGUAAAGCCCUUUUGUUGGGAAAGAAAAGCAGCAGGUUAAUACCCCGCUGUUCUGACGGUACCCAAAGAAUAAGCACCGGCUAACUUCGUG
Molecule: ribosomal RNA, 492 nt
Filed under: uncultured bacterium
Lineage: Bacteria
Description: partial 16S ribosomal RNA
Rfam family: Bacterial small subunit ribosomal RNA
Source: RNAcentral